CGCAUGGUGGGUGUUGGAAAGAUUUAUCGGUUUUGGAUGGACUCGCGGCCUAUCAGCUUGUUGGUGAGGUAAUGGCUCACCAAGGCGACGACGGGUAGCCGGCCUGAGAGGGUGACCGGCCACACUGGGACUGAGACACGGCCCAGACUCCUACGGGAGGCAGCAGUGGGGAAUAUUGCACAAUGGGCGCAAGCCUGAUGCAGCGACGCCGCGUGAGGGAUGACGGCCUUCGGGUUGUAAACCUCUUUCAGUAGGGAAGAAGCGAAAGUGACGGUACCUGCAGAAGAAGCACCGGCUAACUACGUGCCAGCAGCCGCGGUAAUACGUAGGGUGCGAGCGUUAUCCGGAAUUAUUGGGCGUAAAGAGCUCGUAGGCGGUUUGUCGCGUCUGUCGUGAAAGUCCGGGGCUUAACCCCGGAUCUGCGGUGGGUACGGGCAGACUAGAGUGCAGUAGGGGAGACUGGAAUUCCUGGUGUAGCGGUGGAAUGCGCAGAUAUCAGGAGGAACACCGAUGGCGAAGGCAGGUCUCUGGGCUGUAACUGACGCUGAGGAGCGAAAGCAUGGGGAGCGAACAGGAUUAGAUACCCUGGUAGUCCAUGCCGUAAACGUUGGGCACUAGGUGUGGGGACCAUUCCACGGUUUCCGCGCCGCAGCUAACGCAUUAAGUGCCCCGCCUGGGGAGUACGGCCGCAAGGCUAAAACUCAAAGGAAUUGACGGGGGCCCGCACAAGCGGCGGAGCAUGCGGAUUAAUUCGAUGCAACGCGAAGAACCUUACCAAGGCUUGACAUGUUCUCGAUCGCCGUAGAGAUACGGUUUCCCCUUUGGGGCGGGUUCACAGGUGGUGCAUGGUUGUCGUCAGCUCGUGUCGUGAGAUGUUGGGUUAAGUCCCGCAACGAGCGCAACCCUCGUUCCAUGUUGCCAGCACGUCGUGGUGGGGACUCAUGGGAGACUGCCGGGGUCAACUCGGAGGAAGGUGAGGACGACGUCAAAUCAUCAUGCCCCUUAUGUCUUGGGCUUCACGCAUGCUACAAUGGCCGGUACAAUGGGUUGCGAUACUGUGAGGUGGAGCUAAUCCCAAAAAGCCGGUCUCAGUUCGGAUUGGGGUCUGCAACUCGACCCC
Molecule: ribosomal RNA, 1120 nt
Filed under: Micrococcus luteus
Lineage: Bacteria; Bacillati; Actinomycetota; Actinomycetes; Micrococcales; Micrococcaceae
Description: bacterial SSU rRNA
Rfam family: Bacterial small subunit ribosomal RNA
Source: RNAcentral